RNAcentral lists this ribosomal RNA (400 nucleotides) under uncultured bacterium. Its description in RNAcentral is "bacterial SSU rRNA". It matches the Rfam family "Bacterial small subunit ribosomal RNA", at positions 355 to 772 of the family's 1533-position model. The record is from RNAcentral.
UAGGGAAUCUUGCGCAAUGGGCGAAAGCCUGACGCAGCCAUGCCGCGUGAAUGAUGAAGGUCUUAGGAUUGUAAAAUUCUUUCACCGGGGAAGAUAAUGACGGUACCCGGAGAAGAAGCCCCGGCUAACUUCGUGCCAGCAGCCGCGGUAAUACGAAGGGGGCUAGCGUUGCUCGGAAUUACUGGGCGUAAAGGGCGCGUAGGCGGACAGUUUAGUCAGAGGUAAAAGCCCAGGGCUCAACCUUGGAACUGCCUUUGAAACUGUCGGGCUUGAGGCCGGGAGGGGGUAGCGGAAUUCCCAGUGUAGCGGUGAAAUGCGUAGAUAUUGGGAGGAACACCGGUGGCGAAGGCGGCUACCUGGACCGGUUCUGACGCUGAUGCGCGAAAGCGUGGGUAGCAAA